Molecule: unclassified non-coding RNA, 145 nt
Filed under: Metschnikowia noctiluminum
Lineage: Eukaryota; Fungi; Ascomycota; Pichiomycetes; Serinales; Metschnikowiaceae
Description: partial internal transcribed spacer region
Rfam family: Eukaryotic small subunit ribosomal RNA (bases 1-46)
Source: RNAcentral
AAGUCGUAACAAGGUUUCCGUAGGUGAACCUGCGGAAGGAUCAUUAAAAAAAAAUAUUAUACAUCUCUUCUAGGAUUAAACACUAAAUGUUAUAUUUCAACAAGUUUAAAAUAAAAAACUUUCAACAACGGAUCUCUUGGUUCUC